AUGUGGCCAGCUGCUAGGGCAUAUAGGCCACAAGUUUUUAACUACCACAUGAAUAAAAUCCUAGCAGAAGCACCUGAUGUGCAUGAAUAUCUUUCAAGGUACCACAGCUUAAAAUGGAUGAGAUGCAUGUUUGACCCGUCCAUUAAAUGUGAUUACAUCAACAAUAACCUUGCUGAGUCUUUUAAUGGUUGGAUUAAAGAUUACAAAGAUUUGCCACCUGAUGAGCUAGUUGACACUCUUAGAGAGGUAGUCAUGAAACUUCAUGAGAAAAGGAGAAAGAUUGGAAUGAAACUGAAAGGAAAAAUUAUUCCAGCCAUCAUCCAAUAG
Molecule: ribosomal RNA, 327 nt
Filed under: Triticum aestivum (bread wheat)
Lineage: Eukaryota; Viridiplantae; Streptophyta; Magnoliopsida; Poales; Poaceae
Description: partial small subunit ribosomal RNA
Source: RNAcentral